This 14972-nucleotide long non-coding RNA is filed under the name Salmo salar (Atlantic salmon). Its description in RNAcentral is "lncRNA (ENSSSAG00000095972.1)". Lineage: Eukaryota; Metazoa; Chordata; Actinopteri; Salmoniformes; Salmonidae. The record is from RNAcentral.
UAGAUAGGCCUCGAUAAUUCAAUAUCACAGCCUAAUAUUAUUUAAGUGUCCAAUAUCUCAUCAUUGUAGGGACCUGUUUGUGGCUGGGUGUUGUGUAUUUGAUUGUUACUGUAAUAUAUUCCUGUGUGUGUGUGUGUGUGUGUGUGUGUGUGUGAGAGAGAGUGUGUUAGAAAGCGAGAGAGAAAGAUAAUAGUUGAGUAUUGUCUAGGAGUGUGUGUGUGACUGUGUCUAGGAGUGUGUGUGUGACUGUGUCUAGGAGUGUGUGUGUGACUGUGUGUCUAGGAGUGUGUGUGUGUGUGACUGUGUGUCUAGGAUGGUGUGUGUGUGACUGUGUGUCUAGGAGGGUGUGUGUGUGACUGUGUGUCUAGGAGGGUGUGUGUGACUGUGUCUAGGAGUGUGUGUGUGACUGUGUGUGUGUGACUGUGUGUCUAGGAGGGUGUGUGUGUGUGACUGUGUGUCUAGGAUGGUGUGUGUGUGACUGUGUGUCUAGGAGGGUGUGUGUGUGACUGUGUGUCUAGGAGGGUGUGUGUGACUGUGUGUCUAGGAGUGUGUGUGUGACUGUGUGUCUAGGAGUGUGUGUGUGACUGUGUGUCUAGGAGGGUGUGUGUGUGACUGUGUGUCUAGGAGGGUGUGUGUGUAACUGUGUCUAGGAGGGUGUGUGUGAUUGUGUGUCUAGGAGUGUGUGUGACUGUGUGUCUAGGAGUGUGUGUGUGACUGUGUCUAGGAGGGUGUGUGUGACUGUGUGUCUAGGAGGGUGUGUGUGACUGUGUGUCUAGGAGGGUGUGUGUGUGACUGUGUGUCUAGGAGUGUGCGUGUGACUGUGUGUCUAGGAGUGUGUGUGUGACUGUGUGUCUAGGAGUGUGUGUGUGACUGUGUGUCUAGGAGUGUGUGGGUGACUGUGUGUCUAGGAGGGUGUGUGUGACUGUGUGUCUAGGAGGGUGUGUGUGUGACUGUGUGUCUAGGAGGGUGUGUGUGUGACUGUGUGUCUAGGAGUGUGUGUGUGACUGUGUGUCUAGGAGAGUGUGUGUGUGACUGUGUGUCUAGGAGGGUGUGUGUGUGACUGUGUGUCUAGGAGGGUGUGUGUGUGACUGUGUGUCUAGGAGGGUGUGUGUGUGACUGUGUGUCUAGGAGGGUGUGUGUGUGACUGUGUGUCUAGGAGGGUGUGUGUGUGACUGUGUCUAGGAGGGUGUGUGUGACUGUGUGUCUAGGAGUGUGUGUGACUGUGUGUCUAGGAGGGUGUGACUGUGUGUCUAGGAGGGUGUGUGUGUGACUGUGUGUCUAGGAGUGUGUGUGUGACUGUGUGUCUAGGAGUGUGUGUGUGACUGUGUGUCUAGGAGGGUGUGUGUGUGACUGUGUGUCUAGGAGUGUGUGUGUGACUGUGUCUAGGAGUGUGUGUGUGACUGUGUCUAGGAGUGUGUGCGUGUGACUGUGUGUCUAGGAGUGUGUGUGUGACUGUGUGUCUAGGAGUGUGUGCGUGUGACUGUGUGUCUAGGAGGGUGUGUGUGACUGUGUGUCUAGGAGGGUGCGUGUGACUGUGUGUCUAGGAGUGUGUGUGUGACUGUGUGUCUAGGAGUGUGUGUGUGACUGUGUGUCUAGGAGUGUGUGUGUGACUGUGUGUCUAGGAGUGUGUGUGUGACUGUGUCUAGGAGUGUGUGCGUGUGACUGUGUGUCUAGGAGUGUGUGCGUGUGACUGUGUGUCUAGGAGUGUGUGUGUGACUGUGUCUAGGAGUGUGUGCGUGUGACUGUGUGUCUAGGAGUGUGUGUGUGACUGUGUGUCUAGGAGUGUGUGUGUGACUGUGUGUCUAGGAGUGUGUGUGUGACUGUGUGUCUAGGAGUGUGUGUGUGACUGUGUGUCUAGGAGUGUGUGUGUGACUGUGUGUGUGUGUGACUGUGUGUCUAGGAGGGUGUGUGUGUGACUGUGUGUCUAGGAGGGUGUGUGUGUGACUGUGUGUCUAGGAGGGUGUGUGUGACUGUGUGUCUAGGAGGGUGUGUGACUGUGUGUCUAGGAGGGUGUGUGUGACUGUGUGUCUAGGAGCGUGUGUGACUGUGUCUAGGAGGGUGUGAGUGACUGUGUGUCUAGGAGGGUGUGUGUGACUGUGUGUCUAGGAGUGUAUGUGUGACUGUGUGUCUAGGAGUAUGUGUAAAUGUGUGUCUAGGAGGGUGUGUGUGACUGUGUGUCUUGGAGGGUGGGUGUGACUGUGUGUCUAGGAGGGUGUGUGUGACUGUGUGUCUAGGAGGGUGUGUGUGACUGUGUGUCUAGGAGUGUGUGUGUGACUCUCUCAGCUCAGUGGCCAGUCUUUGCCAGUGUGUCACUGCGGUAAUAAAGACGGAUGGGCCUGUCUGCUGUUGCUGUGAUUGGGCUGCAGCUGAUCUGUGUGUGUGUGAAUAGCAUACUCUGAAUAGCAUACUCUGAGUUGUCCUUAUGUUAGGUCCUGAUCUGGCUAUGCCAUAUGGCUGUGGGCUACCCUAGUUCAUAGCAGACAAGAUUUGCUUAGAAUUCCAUGGCAUUAUUUUAUAUUAUUUUAUAGUAUGACGAAUACAAUUGAACAAAGAUGAAUAAAAUAGAAAGGAUAUGUUCUCCAAACGAUUUGCAGGAUUGUGCACAUGCAGCUAUUCUGUGUUGAGCGGUUAACAAAGAAAUAGGUCCUCCUAUAUGCUUAAUUUAGAGUUAUUAAUGUAACUUUAGUCGUUCUACAAACGUUGGGCUAUAUGUUUAGAUUUUUAAUACAUUGUAAGGCUGCAUGAUGCGAAUCUAAUGAUGAUUUGAAAAAAGUCGCUUGAAAGCCAUGAGCUGUACACACUACAUCAGUCACUCAUUCACAAUUUGACAAGCACUUGAUAAUGACUUUUGUGGCCAGUGGCCAUUCUGCGCUUCUCACUGAGUGUUGUGCGCUCCAUCAGGUGAUGGGUCUUUCUCACAGGCUACAAGUGAAGACAGACACAUCGGGAACGCAACUGCGCAACUGCGCGCAUCCUCCGUGCAUAUUGAAGAUAUUGGAAGAACUGUCCACAUUUACUUUUCGUCAGCCAACAAUAUGAGUUGGCCUAACGAACAGCAAAAGCAAUAGCCUAUGUCAAUCUACUAUCCCCCAUAGUACAAAGGUCAGCCUAUUCUAUUCUGUGCGAGAAAUAAAUAUUCCAAACAUAAUCUGGGACAGUUGUGGGAUGCGAUAGAUUUCAAAUGAAUACAACCACUAGCAUCAAAAACAUUUUUUUACGCAAUGCGGCUGACGCAACAGAUCAGAAUGUUUAGCUUGAAAUGUUGAUAAACUAUUAGGCUAUUUCUUCACAUUAUAAGCGUAGCAAUGUGAACAUGGUAGUAGGCUAUAAGAGCGAAUGUUCCAUUAGCGGAAAACACCAUUAUCAAAAGUGGCAAAUGCAAUUAUGCAUGUAAUGCUUUUAUUAUAAAGGUGCAUUUUAAUGGUGAAAAUGAUCUUCCCCAAACUUGAAACUCACGCGCUACUUAAGUAUGCCAGUUAGUCUCUACACCCCUUGUAAAGCAGAUUAAUGUGCUUCCUUUUAAAACGUUAUGUGGCCACUUUAGUUGUAAUACAAACCUUAUUAAAACAUUUAGGCCUAUGGGCUAGGCUACAUGAGGUCUGCGACUAUUAUUCAUUGUAUUGUUUCUUAUACUGGGCAUCAUUCACAAGUCAUAAUAUAUAAUUCAGAAGUGAUAGACUAAUAUUGUCACCCACCAUACUAUUCUUGAUUUAAUUUUGCUUUUACAUAUACUAAAUAAUAUAUGUGUGACAUUUGUUUUGAUUUAGAAGGAACCAUUAACAUGCACCUGUAUGGAAACAGGAGCAGGGGAAAAUACAUGUCAUCUAUACACUGAAAUAGUGAAUGGAGGACGCUUUUCCCCAUGGCUUAUUUUCAUGCCAGCCAGGUAGGCUAUACACCUGUUGUAAAUAUAAGCAAUGUGCUUAAUAUUAGGAAAGUUGAGAAAUAAGUUGAGAAAUAUAUUAGGCCUAGCCUAUAGAAACCUGAUUAGUAGAGGCCAUCACUCAAUUGCAUAUCUUACUGAAAUGUUGCGCAACAUGAGCUCAUGGGAUCUCAUGAAGUGGUAGAUUUUUGAAUUGUCAGAGUGAUUAGAGGGGCAAUAGAGUGCUGAGUACCAGGCAGUUAGCAAGUUUGGUAGGUUACUAAUGACCGUCAGCAGCAUCAGAGCUUGGAGAAGCCUAAUAACCAUGACUAAACGGUCACGUGGAAUUUCACUGCCUUCAGGACUCGUGACCGCUGGUGUGGCGGUAAUAUGGUCACCGCAACAGCCCUAGUAACACAGAGAGCAUGAAAGAGAACCAUGGCUGGAAAGAGAAAUGGAGCAGAGGAUAGAGAAAGAGAAAGAAAGAAAGAGAGAACUGUGCUAUACCCUGGACUCUGUGACUCCUAAGUCAAACCCAGUCACCUGGCACAAACCGCCACCAGCCAUAAUGUCAUCCAUAACCUCCUGCUGACAGUAACACCCAUACCACCUCAUCAUCAGCUUUGCACGUUAUGCCCUAUUAUAAGACAGAGAGAGUAAAGCUGGGUCCCAAAUGGCACUAUUCCCUUUAAAGUACACGACUUUUGACCAGGACGCAGCUGCAGAGAGCAAUAUGUACAUGCUUAAUCAUCGCUUUAUUAACAUUUAAAACAUUAGCCAGCUCAAACAAUGUCUCAUCCUACUGUAUUUGUCCCCUGUGACCCCAGUGCCACCUCACAGAAAUAUAGAGAGGACACUGGGUUCAGAUGGGUGCAUCUCAAGGAGUUGAAGUUCAUUUAUCCUGUAUCACCUACCGCAUCAGCCCCUUGGGUGAGUGACUGUGAGUGAUAGGUGACAGUAAUAUGGUGUCAGCCCUAAGAUUGAUUGACUCUUACCUAUCAAGCCGCCCCUCCCUCCCUCUUUUUCCAGGUCAGUGGGAAUAAAGGACAAAACGCCAUUUCACUUCAAACAAACACUGUAUAGCCUCGUUAAAACUAUAAUUCUGAUCUCAUGGAUCGUCAGUCCUUGCAUCAACAGCUCCGUCUAGGAACCCCCAGCCCAUAGCUGUUUACCAAAAGAGAAAAAAAAAGAGUGGCAGGGAAAAGCUUUGUUGUUUGAAUCUGUCAUGUGUCAGUCGUGCAGAGAUGAGAACGGAGUCAGGCGCAGGACACUGAACUGAGUAAAAUAGCGUACUUUACUCGGUAAAAUAAUCAGCCAAAUAAAUCCACUCAGGGAUAACAAAACCCUAACACAAAAGACUAAAACAAAACCAGGAAACAAUCACGCACAAAACAUAAUGAGAACCAGUGGGUUAAAUAGGGAAAUAAUAAUAACGUAAUGGGAACCAGGUGUGAACAAUCAAGACAUAACAAAUGGAAAAAGAAACGUGGAUCGGUGGCAACUAGAAAGCCGGCGACGACAACCGACGAACGCCGCCCGAACAAGGAGAGGCACAAACUUCGGCGGAAGUCGUGACAGUAUCCCCAGCAGUGCGCUCCAGCAGUGCGCCGACACCGGCCUCGGGGACGACCCGGAGGACGAGGCACAGGGCGAUCUGGGUGGAGACUGUGAAAUUCCUGCAGUAAGGAAGGGUCCAGUAUGUCCUCCACCGGCACCCAGCAUCUCUCCUCUGGACCGUACCCCUCCCACUCCACGAGGUACUGAAGGCCCCUUGCCCGACGCCUUGAGUCCAUGAUGGCUCGCACUGUAUACGCCGGGUCCCCCUCGAUGUCCAAAGGGGGCGGAGGAACCUCCCACACCUCAGACUGCUGGAGCGGACCAGCCACCACCGGCCUGAGGAGAGACACAUGGAACUAAUACGAUAAUCAGGGGGAAGCUGUAACAUACCUCGUUCAGUCUCCUCAGGACUUUAAAUGGCCCCACAAACCGCGGACCCAGCUUCCGGCAGGGCAGGAGAAGGGGCAGGUUUCGGGUCGAGAGCCAGACCCGGUCUCCCAGUGCAUAUACCGGGGCCUCACUAUGGUGGCAGUCGGCGCUCGCCUUCUGUCGCCUGAUGGCUCAUUGCAGGCGUACAUGGGCAGCGUCCCAGGUUUCCUCCGAGAGCCGAAACCAUUCAUCCACCACAGGUGCCUCGAUCUGGCUCUGAUGCCACGGUGCCAGAACCGGCUGAUAACCUAGUACACACUGAAACGGGGACAGGUUAGUGGAGGAGUGGCGGAGGGAGUUUUGGGCCAUCUCCGCCCAGGGGAUGAAAUCCGACCACUCCCCCGGCCGGUCCUGGCAAUAAGACCGCAGAAACCUACCCACAUCCUGGUUAACUCUCUCCACCUGCCCAUUACUUUCGGGGUGAAACUCUGAGGUCAGGCUGAUCGAGACCCCCAGACGUUCCAUGAACGCCCUCCAGACCCUUGAUGUGAACUGGGGACCCCAAUCAGACACUAUAUCCUCAGGCACCCCAUAGUGCAGAAAGAGGUGUAUAAACAGGGCCUCCACAGUCUGUAGGGCCGUAGGGAGACCGGGAAAAGGAAUGAGACGGCAGGACUUAGAAAGCUGAUCCACAACAACCAGAAUCGUGGUGUUUCCUCGUGACGGAGGGAGAUCCUUCACGAAAGCCACCGAUAGGUGUGACCUCGGCCAUUGUGGAACGGGUAGGAGUUGUAAUUUCCCUCUGGGCAGGUGUCUAGGUGCCUUGCACUGAGCGCACACCGAGCAGGAGGAAACAUACACCCUCACGUCCUUAGCUAAAGUGGGCCACCAGUACUUCCCACUAAGACAGCGCACUGUCCGAAAGAUGCCAGGAUGACCAGAGGAAGGUGACGUAGGAGCCCAACAGAUCACGAACAUCAGACUGAACGUACUUACGUCCAACUGGACACUGGGUGGGAGUGGGCUCCGCACGUAACGCCUGCUCGAUGUACGCGUCAACCUCCCAUACCGCCGUUGCCAUCCGGCAAGAAGCCGGGAGUAUGGGAGUGGGAUCCGUGGAUCUCUCCUCUGUGUCAUACAUCCGAGACAGUGCGUUUGCCUUAGCGUUCUGGGAACCUGGUCUGUAGGAUAGAGACGGGUGAAAAACGGGUGAAAAACAUGGCCCACCUUGCCUGGCGAGGAUUCAUUCUCCUUGCCGCCCGGAUGUACUCCAGAUUGCGGUGGUCAGUCCAAAUGAGAAAAGGGUGUUUAGCCCCCUCAAGCCAAUGCCUCCACGCUUUCAGAGCCCCGACAACAGCUCCCGGUUCCCCACAUCAUAGUUUCGCUCCACCGGGCUGAGCUUCUUCGAAAAGAACGCACAGGGGCAGAGUUUUGGUGGCGUCCCCGAGUGCUGAGACAGCACAGCUCCUAUCCCAGCCUCAGACGCGUCCACCUCUACUAUGAACGCUAAGGAGGGAUCAGGAUGAGCCAACACAGGAGCCGAGGUAAACAGAGCCUUCAGGUGACCAAAAUCCCUGUCGCACCGGUCCCCCUUCAGCAAAGAGGUAAUGGGAGCCGCUACUUGACCAAAGCCCCAGAUAAACCUCCGAUAGUAGUUGGCAAACCCUAAGAACCACUGCACCUCUUUACGGUGGUUGGAGUCGGCCAAUUCGCACGGCUGAAAUGUGGUCAUUCUCCAUCUCCACCCCUGACUUGGACAGGUGAUACCCUAGGAAGGAGACGGACUGUUGGAAGAACAGACAUUUCUCCGCCUUAACGUACAGGUCAAGCUCCAACAGUCGACCAAGCACCAUGCGCACCAGAGACACAUGCUCGGCGCGUGUAGCGGAAUAUAUUAGAAUGUCAUCUAUAUACACCACUACACCCUGCCCGUGCAGGUCCCUGAAAAUGUCGUCUACAAAGGAUUGGAAGACGGAUGGAGCAUUCAUCAACCCGUACAGCAUGACAAGGUACUCAGUGCCCAGAGGUGGUACUAAAUGCCGUCUUCCACUCAUCCUCCUCCCAGAUACGCACCAGGUUGUAAGCAUUCCUGAGAUCCAAUUUGGUGAAGAAGCGCACCCCAUGCAAUGACUCGGUCACACUGGCAAUGAGAGGCAGAGGGUAACUAUACUUCACCGUGAUCUGAUUUAAACCUCUAUAGUCAAUGCACAGGCGUAAACCUCCAUCCUUCUUCACAAAAAAGAAACUUGAGGAGGCAGGUGAAGUGGAAGGCCGAAUGUAUCCCUGUUCCAGAGAUUCGGUGACAUAUGUUUCCAUAGCCGCCAUCUCCUCCUGUGACAGAGGAUACACGUGACUCCUGGGAAGUGCUUCGUCUACCAGGAGAUUUAUCGCACAAUCCCCCCAUCGAUGGGGUGGUAGUUGAGUCACCUUCUUUUUACAGAAGGCGAGAGCCAAAUCGGCAUAUUCAGGGGGGAUGUGCAUGGUGGAGACCUGGUUUGGACUCUCCACCUUAGUUGCACCUAUGGAAACACCUAUACACCUCCCUGAACACUGACGUGACCAUCCCUUGAGAGCCCUCUGUUGCCACGAAAUAAUGGGUUCAUAAUGGGCCAACCAGGGAAACCCCAACACCACAAGAAACACAGGAGAAUAUAUCAGGAAGAGACUAAUUCUCUCCUCAUGACCCUCCUGCGUUAUCAUACAUAGUGGAGCUGUGACUUCCCUAAUCAGACCCGACCCUAAAGGACGACUAUCUAAGGAAUGUACAGGGUAGGGCACAUCAACAGGAACAAUAGGGAUCCCUAAUCGACGAGCCAACGAAGGUCAAUAAAGUUCCCAGCUGCGCCUGAAUCUACUAGCGCCUUAUGCUGGGAAUGCGGGGAAAACUCAGGAAAUUCUAUAGAUAUAUACAUGUGUGCAACAGGAAGCUCUGGGUAAGUUGGGUGCAUACUCACCUGGGAUGAUCCACCAGUGCCCUACCUGCUGCCUCGACAUCCUGGGAACCUCUCCAGCACCGACCAGCAGUGUGUCCUCUGCGGCCACAGAUAGUGCAGGAAACAGCCCUCCCUCCGGUCACCCUUAGAGCAGCACCUCCGAGCUCCAUAGGUGUAGGAUCGGAGGUGCUGGGGGAUGGAAUGGACGGACCCCGAUCUGGACGUCCGCGGGUGGCCAACAGGUUAUCCAGCUGGAUGGAUAAAUCCACCAGCUGGUCGAGGGUAAAGGUGGUGUCCCUGCAGGCCAGCUCCAGACGAACGUCCUCCCGUAGACUACAUCAGUAAUGGUCGAUCAGGGCCCUCUCAUUCCAUCCCGCACUGGCAGCCAGGGUCCUGAAGUCCAGUGCGAAUUCCUGUGCGCUCCCCAUCCCCUGUCUGAGAUGGAACAAGCGUUCCUCCGCCGCUCUCCCCUCAGGUGGAUGAUCGAAGACCGCCCGGAAGCGCCGGGUGAAAUCCUCAUAGCGGACCAAUGUUGCGUCUAUACUUCCCCAUUCCGCAUUGGCCCACUCAAGCGCCUUCCCCGACAGACAGGAGAUGAGGGCGGACACGCUCUCAUAUCCCGAGGGAGCCGGGUGGACGGUCGCCAGGUAGAGCUCCAACUGGGGCAGGAACUCCUGGCACCCGGCAGCCGUCCCAUCAUAAGCGCUCGGGAGCGAGAGCCGAAUCCCACUGGGUCCAGGUGACGGAGGAGUGGACAGCGUUGUGGGUUGUGGUGUUGGUUGGAGUGAAGUUGAUGGGGUUGUGGGAACACCCCCUCUUUCCCAUCAUUCCAUGGUGAGCAGCAUGCGAUCGAUCCAUGGCUGUGCCAAGAUGUUGGAGCAUCGUCGCGUGCUGCUGGACGCGUUCCUCCACUGGUAGCGGAGGACUGGGUGCAGCUGCUGACUCCAUAAAAAAGUGGUGCGUGAUUCUGUCAUGUGUCAGUUGUGCAGAGAUGAGAACGGAGUCAGGCGCAGGACACAGAACUGAGUAAAAUAGCGUACUUUACUCUGGAAAAUAAUCAGCCAAAUAAAUCCACGCAGGGAUAACAAAACCCUAACACAAAAGACUAAAACAAAACCAGGAAACAAUCAUGCACAAAACAUAAUGAGAACCAGUGGGUUAAAUAGGGAAAUAAUAAUAACGUAAUGGGAACCAGGUGUGAACAAUCAAGACAUAACAAAUGGAAAAAGAAACGUGGAUCGGUGGCAACUAGAAAGCCGGCAACGACGACCGCCGAACGCCACCCGAACAAGGAGAGGCACCAACUUCGGCGGAAGUCGUGACAGAAUCCCAGAUUGCCCCUUUAAAGACAAUUUCCCUGACGUUCACAGGGAUCACAUUCACGGUUGUCACUGCGGAUAUCGACACAAGUGUAAAUUACUUUUAAAAGUCAAGUGCAUUGCCCGGCCAGGGCAUAUCAGUUGGAAUGAAGGGACUUGUCAGGACUAGUCCUAUGUAGGAAUGAAGGGACUUGUUGGGACUAGUCCCAUGACAGUGACUCAUCUGAGAAUGGUCACAGGGUCGGUGGGAAUGAAGGACAGGAAGCAUUUUAAGACUGGUUUGGACCAGUCCUAUUAUAUGACAAAUCUCUCUCACUUGAGUAAAUCACCUCAUUAUUUUCAUUUAGCUCUUUCGUAGCUUUGUUAACUGUGUGUGCUUUCUAACCCAGUUCGCUCCUCUCCCUGUAGGCUUUACAGACGGUCCCCACCCGGUGGCUAAAACCCUUCUAAUUUAAUGUACCCUGCACGCACAAACCAUGUGAAAUUCCUAGUCUCCGGUAGCAUUUGGAACUGGCAAUAUGUUGCCCUUAAGUCCUUACACUUUUUUGGCAUGACGGAGGGCUACUCAUUUCUCCUAAGUGGAGAUUUUCUCUUUCCCCCUAUCUCCUGUCUAUUUCCUCAUGCUGUCACUUGUCUUCUUGACCCUAACCAGUCAGGCUUCAAGAUGGCUUACUCAACUGAUACCACUCUCCUCUGCGUCACAGAGGUUCUCCGCUCUGCCAAAGCUGACACUCUCUCCACUGUUCUCAUCCUCCGAGAUCUAUCCACUGCCUUUGACAUCGUGAACCAUCAGAUCCACCCUCUCGGGUAUGUGCAUCUCAGGCUCUGCACACUCUUGGAUUGUAUCCUACCUGGCAGAUCGCUCCUACCAGGUGACGUGGAGAGGAUCUGAGUCUGCACCACAUGCUCUCACUACUGGUGUCUCCCAGGGCUCGAUUGUAGGCCCUCUCCUCUUCUCUCGUCUUCCCUCUUCUCUCUAUACACCAAGUCACUCGGCGCCAUCAUAUCCUCAUAUGGUCUUUCCUAUCAUUGCUUUGCAAAUGACGCUGCUUUGCGAAUGACACUACUUUGCGGAUGACACUACUUUUCUCCCUCACCCAUUCUGAUACCCAGGUGGCGACACGCAUCUCUGCAUACCUGGCAGAUAUCUCAGCUUGGAUGUCAACCCACCACCUCAAGCUCCAAGGCCUCUCAUUCAUGGUUGACAAAUCCAUGGUGUCCCCCUUUCAGAAUGAAAAAAAACCUUGGUGUGACCCUGGACAACACCCUGUCAUUCUCUGCAAACAUGAAAUUUCAGCUUCAAGUUUUAACGUCUCAUGCACAAGUACGGUGAAAUGCCUUUCUUGAAAGCUCUAAACCCAACAAUGCAGUAAUUAAUUACAAAAUGUAGUGGUAAAAAACUAUAAGGUAGAACAACAACACAUGAGAAAUAAAAAUAAGAAAUAAGAACAUGAGAAGUAAGCAUACUAUAUACAUGAUCAGUUCCAGUAGCAUAUUUACAAUGUCCAGGGAUACUGAAGUGAUAACGGUAGAUACAUUAUAUUGUACAUACAAAAGUAUGUGGACACCCCUUCAAAUUCGUGGAUUCGGCUAUUUCAGACACACCCAUUGCAUGACAAGUGUAUAAAAUCAAGCACACAGCCAUGCAAUCUCCAUAGACAAACAUUGGCAGCUGAAUGGCCUUAAUGAAGAGCUCAGUGACUUUCAACGUGGCACCUUCAUAGGUGCCAACUUUUCAAUAAGUCAGUUUGUCAAAUUUCUGCCCUGCUAGAGCUGCCCCGGCCAACUUUAAGUGCUGUUAUUGUGAAGUGGAAAUGUCUAGGAGCAACAACGGUUCAGCCGCGAAGUGGUAGGCCACAAGCUCACAGAACAGUACCUCCGAGUGCUGAAGUGCAUAGCGAGUAAAUAUCGUCUGUCCUCGGUUGCAACACUCACUACUGAGUUCCAAACUGCCUCUGGAAGCAACGUCAGCACAAGAAUUGUUCAUCGGGAGCUUCAUGAAAUGGGUUUCCAUGGCCGAAAAGUUGCACACAAGCCUAAGAUCACCAUGCUCAAUGCCAAGCCUCGGCUGGAGUGGUGUAAACCUCGCCGCCAUUGGACUCUGGAGCAGUGGAAACGCGUUCUCUGGUGUGAUGAAUCAAUCUUUACCAUGAAUCUGGGUUUGGCGGAUGCCAGGAGAACACUACCUGCCCCGACUGCAUAGUGCCAACUGUAAAGUUUGGUGGAGGAGGAAUAAUGUUUUUCAUGGUUUGGGCUAGGCCUCUUAGUUCCAGUGAAGAGACAUAUUAACCCCCCAGCAUAGAAUGACAUUCUAGACGAUUCUGUGAGUCCAACUUUGUGGCAACAGUUUGAGGUGAGGAAGGUCCUUUCCUGUUUCAGCAUGACAAUGCCCUGUGCACAAAGAGAGGUCCAUACAUAUUUUUUUUUCUGAGAUCGGUGUUUAAGAACUUGACUGGUUUGCACAGAGACCUGACCUCAACCCCAUCAAACACCUUUGAGAUCAAUUGGAAUGCCGACUAUGAGCCAGGCCUAAUCGCUCAAAAUCAGUGCCCGACCUCACUAAUGCUCUUGUGGCUGAAUGAAAGCAAGUCCCCGCAGCAAUUUUCCAACAUCUAGUGGAAAGCCUUCCCAAAAGAAUGGCGGCUGUUAUAGCAGCAAAAUGGGGACCAACUCCAUAUUAAUGCCAUGGUUUUGGAAUGAGAUUUUUGACGAGCAGGUGUCCACAUACUUUUGGUCAUGUAGUGUAUAUAUAGGGGUAAGGUGACUAGGCAUCAGGAUAUAUGAUAAACAGAGACUCGCUCCUGUAGGUUCAUGGUCUACAACAUCCGUAGAGUACAACCCUUCCUCACACAGGAAGCAGCGUAGGUCCUAAUCCAGGAUCUUGUCAACUCCUGUCUAGACUACUGCAACUCUCCGUUGGCUGGGCUCCCUGCUUGUGCAAUCAAACCCCUGCAACUUAUCCAGAACACCGCAACCCGCCUAGUGUUCAACCUUCCCAAGUUCUCUCUUGUCACCCAUUCCUCUGAACACUCCACUGGCUUCCAGUCUAAGCUCGCAUCCACUACAAGACCAUGGUGCAAAGAGUAUCUUAAAUUAAUCCCACGGUGAGCACUGCUAAAUGACUCAAAUGGAAACGCAAACGUUAUGAUGAUGACUCUGAUAGACCCAGGGUUAGAGUGACCUCAUUUUCCUGUCGGUCCAUGUGCCUCCAGGUCACUGUGACUCAACUGAAACACAGAUUGACUGACUGUUCUGUGCACAGUCGUAUGUGUCUCAAAUAUGCUCCCUGGACCAAAGUAGUGCACUAUAUAGGGCAUAUGGGUGCCAUUUGGGACGAAUCCUCUGACUCUCAGAGAGUGUAGUGUUUGCAUGCAAUUGAACUCAUUAGAACUUCAACAGUUUGUACAUUUGCUGUAAUUUUCUCAUCUGUGUCAGUAUAACAGCAUGUAAAGAGGAUAACACAUGGGCAAUUAUCUGCAUUUACAAUACUACUGUAUCUGAACUGUCUACACACAUAUAUAUAUAUACACACACAUAAAUACUACUGUCAUCUACAUAUAAAUACAGUAUUUUUUAGAUAAACAGUACAUCAAACUGAAGGUUCAUAGAUCAGGUACAGGGCUUCCGAGUGCUGAACAGAGUGGCCUUGUGCUUGCCACCUGAUCCUAUUACCUUCAUGAAGGAACAAGUUGUUUAAUCUGCUCUCCUCCCUUUCCAUCAAUCCAAGUGGCUAACACUGCAGCCUCUCCUCUGCUAGACAUAUUACACCUGGCUUCAAAUAGUAUUUUCUCCUGAUAAGGGAUUUAUAUGUUUAAAUGUAAUGAUUAAAUAAUUCCACCCUGAAACUUAACUAUUAGUGAUUAUUAGUUAUGUAGCAUGUAUAAUGAAAGAUUAAAGUACUAAACAUAAGUCCCAUAAGGUUUAGUAGAGACCUGUAAUGAAGAGGAAUGUAUGUGUGUAUGUGUGUGCCUAAGAGAAUACCGAGAACAAUGAAGACUGUGUUUGGCUCGACCUGGCUAGAACUGAGAAACCUAUGAUAAGACAGGGAGUACUCCUCAAUGUUCCUCUAAUCUCGGGGGAAUGGAACGGACAGCGCUGGGUAGUGAUUAACCGUGGUGAGAACUCUGGGGAGGGAUACAACUCACCUACUGUUCGUGUGUAUGUAUAUGCGUGGGAUAUCUACUGUUGGUGUGGAGGUAUGUAAGUAGGGAGUGAGUUAUAAAAUGAAUGUCUUUGUAUAAUGGACAUCAGAACGUUCUCUGAAUAAACUGUACAAACCUUUUGCAUAAGCUGAGUCUUUGCCUAAUUAUUAUUAACCCAGUAUUAACCCAAACCUUGGGGAUUAGUCAAAGCUUAUUGAUUGUUAGUUAUUAUUGAUUGAAAAUUCUCGUGACAUCUCCCCUUAAAAUACUUUGAGCAUUUGAAUGAGACUGCCUGCCUGCCUGCAGUCCAUUUGCAUUGGUUCCAUUGCGCCAGGCAUGCUCAAUCAAGCACAGAUGAAGUAUUUGUGACAAACCAGAUUUAAACUCAGGUACUAUUUGAUCGACUCUCCUGACACAUCUAUCUUCUCAGUGUGUGUGUGUGUGUGUGUUUGUGUGCGUGUGUGUGUGUUUGUGUGUGUAUGUUUGUGUGUGUGUGUUUGUGUGCGUGUGCAUGUGUGUGUUGCACCUCUCUCUUCUCAGUUUCCCAGCCCCUCCAUGUGAAUACUGUACCUGUCUAAUGUAUUCUGUUUCAUUCAGCUGCCUCUCCUUUCAUCUGGACAGAUAAAAGGGCCUGGUCUUAGAGCAGUGUUUAAAUCAGCAUAGUUAAAGCCACAGGACAACAAAGAGGACCGGGCUCCAGAUACAUCAACACAAACACAAACUACAAAGACAACAGGGAUGGUUAAUGAAGGGAGAGAGGGGGACACGUGGCACCUGUCUAAUAUUAGUG